CCUACGGGGGGCAGCAGUGAGGAAUAUUGGUCAAUGGGCGGGAGCCUGAACCAGCCAAGUCGCGUGAGGGAAGAAGGUACUGAGUAUUGUAAACCUCUUUUGCCAGGGGACAAAGGCGGCCACGGGUGGCCGUAAGAGGGUACCUGGAGAAAAAGCAUCGGCUAACUCCGUGCCAGCAGCCGCGGUAAUACGGAGGAUGCGAGCGUUAUCCGGAUUUAUUGGGGUUAAAGGGUGCGCAGGCGGCGUGUCAAGUCAGCGGGAAAAUGUCGGGGCUCAACCCCGGCCGGCCGUUGAAACUGGCGGGCUCGAGUUGGAGAGAAGUAUGCGGAAUUCGUGGUGUAGCGGUGAAAUGCAUAGAUAUCACGAAGAACCCCGAUUGCGAAGGCAGCAUACCGGCUCCACACUGACGCUGAGGCACGAAAGCGUGGGUAGCGAACAGGAUUAGAUACCCUGGUAGUC
This 459-nucleotide ribosomal RNA is filed under the name uncultured bacterium. Its description in RNAcentral is "partial 16S ribosomal RNA". It matches the Rfam family "Bacterial small subunit ribosomal RNA", at positions 338 to 795 of the family's 1533-position model. The record is from RNAcentral.